This 229-nucleotide long non-coding RNA is filed under the name Capsicum annuum. Its description in RNAcentral is "long non-coding RNA (CANN_LNC008847)". The record is from RNAcentral. Lineage: Eukaryota; Viridiplantae; Streptophyta; Magnoliopsida; Solanales; Solanaceae.
CGAGGGAUAUAAGAUGAUGAUUUUUUACCAUAAUUUGAUUAUCAAACUUGUGCAGCAACAUUGUUUCCUGUAUUUGUAAAAGUGAGGCAUUGCAGCCCUUGAUAUUUAUGCUCUGAAGUCCCUGCUUUGAAGGUAAUAUGUUUCCUGUUUUAUCAAAGAAAACUUGUAAGUAUAAAACGUGGUGGUUGGUUUGCAUUUUUAGCUUUCGCGAUGAUUACUCUUGCGCUGG